Solanum tuberosum (potato) is the source of this 524-nucleotide long non-coding RNA. RefSeq lists it as uncharacterized. Lineage: Eukaryota; Viridiplantae; Streptophyta; Magnoliopsida; Solanales; Solanaceae. The transcript is spliced from 3 exons. The record is from RefSeq and is a predicted model, not a curated record.
GAAUGGUUUGGUUGUUUAUACGAAAUUGGUGAUAUGAAAAGCGCUGGUUCGAACUGAAAAAAAAAGGAAAAUCCACAUUGUUACAAAAUACUAGACAUGUAAUUUAUUCAAUGUGACAUCAACAACUUAAAAUGGAGAGGUCAGAUUGUUGAAACAGUGGUUAUGAAUCCAACUUUUGGAACACGAAGGAAAGGUGUUGACAUGAACUUUCUCUCUUCGGCGAUGAAGGUACGGUAGUGCUCUCCAUAUAAUUGGUAUCCAAGAUUUAUAUUAUUUGCUCAAUAUGUUGUUUGCAUUGGCAUUGCGUCCCCGUCUAUUCCUAGAUUAAUGUGUGGUUUUAUUAUUGUAUGAGGUUGCUUCUCAAGUAGUUUAUUCCUUACAAUAGACCACAACUAGAGAAGUAAGUUCUUCCAUACUAUCCUACCACAACAAAGGGAUUGACUGGUGGAAAAAAUUAUUUGUGUAGCAUCCACUGUAAAUAGUUUACAUAAGAACUUUCUUGAGUUUGUGGUGCUCAUAAAUCA